CCAAAGGCUCUUUUAAGAACCACCAAUUCUUUCAUUUGAAGAGCUU
Cathartes aura (turkey vulture) is the source of this 46-nucleotide non-coding RNA. NCBI's taxonomy places the organism in Eukaryota, Metazoa, Chordata, Aves, Accipitriformes, Cathartidae. The record is from Rfam.